CCUACGGGCGGCUGCAGUGGGGAAUAUUGCACAAUGGGCGCAAGCCUGAUGCAGCCAUGCCGCGUGUGUGAAGAAGGCCUUCGGGUUGUAAAGCACUUUCAGCGGGGAGGAAGGCGGUGAGGUUAAUAACCUCAUCGAUUGACGUUACCCGCAGAAGAAGCACCGGCUAACUCCGUGCCAGCAGCCGCGGUAAUACGGAGGGUGCAAGCGUUAAUCGGAAUUACUGGGCGUAAAGCGCACGCAGGCGGUCUGUCAAGUCGGAUGUGGAAUCCCCGGGCUCAACCUGGGAACUGCAUUCGAAACUGGCAGGCUAGAGUCUUGUAGAGGGGGGUAGAAUUCCAGGUGUAGCGGUGAAAUGCGUAGAGAUCUGGAGGAAUACCGGUGGCGAAGGCGGCCCCCUGGACAAAGACUGACGCUCAGGUGCGAAAGCGUGGGGAGCAAACAGGAUUAGAUACCCGUGUAGUC
This 465-nucleotide ribosomal RNA is filed under the name uncultured Klebsiella sp. RNAcentral's name for it is "bacterial SSU rRNA". It matches the Rfam family "Bacterial small subunit ribosomal RNA", at positions 338 to 795 of the family's 1533-position model. The record is from RNAcentral. Lineage: Bacteria; Pseudomonadati; Pseudomonadota; Gammaproteobacteria; Enterobacterales; Enterobacteriaceae.